Molecule: ribosomal RNA, 253 nt
Filed under: uncultured bacterium
Lineage: Bacteria
Description: partial 16S ribosomal RNA
Rfam family: Bacterial small subunit ribosomal RNA
Source: RNAcentral
UACAGAGGAGCCAAGCGUUGUCCGGAUUGACUGGGCGUAAAGCGCACGCAGGCGGUUGCGCGCGUGGGGUGUGAAAUCUGGCCGCUUAACGGCCAGGCGCCAUCCCAUACGGCGCGACUGGAGUGAUGCAGAGGUCGAUGGAAUUGCCGGUGUAGUGGUGAAAUGCGUAGAGAUCGGCAGAAACACCCAGGGGGAAACCAGUCGACUGGGCAUCUACUGACGCUGAGGUGCGAGAGCGUGGGGAGCGAACCGG